GUGUGUUGAAUAUUUCCUCUGUGAAGAAAGUCUAUCUGUUGAUUAAAACUACAAUGAAUUAUUGCACAUUCCCUUGAAAGAUUAUAUACAAAAUAAGAAAGAAGGAAUUAACAAAUGAAGUUGCCCACAACAAGGCCACAUCUUCAAAAACAGGUGUGCCUUCAACAGAUAUUAUCAAAAUCAACAGAAAGUUUUAGCCUCUUAAAAGUGCUGGUUGAAGUUUGUGUAAAUGAAAAAUAACCAAUUAAAAAUCCACUCCAUGUGGAGAGUUUGGAAUCCAAAUGAAGUUCCCUAAGCACGUAACUAAAUCAUCUCAUAUCUCAAAGAAGUAAAUUGCCCAAAAAAAUGUAGCCUCGAUUUUGUUCAUUAGAAUAGCUAUGUGCUAGUUGCCGCAUGUAACAAGAGAGUUCAAGAAUUCCUCACUGACAAACAUAUAUUUUUAGAAUAACAAAAAGUUGGAAAUAUUAGAUGACAGCAGUCUGCUCUAGCUUUCCCAAAAUACCUUCCUGUUAACCUUGUCCUUACUUUAAGUGGGAAGACAAAUGACACUCUGCCCCAAUUUCACUAGAUUAUUCUGUUUACAAAACCCAAGUGAAGCUAUGACACAAAGAACACUGUUGUAAGAACUGACAAUGUGGUAUUCUCUUGCUCCUAUCUUUCCAUAUUCUUAACUAGCUCCUCAUGUUGCAAAUU
Molecule: unclassified non-coding RNA, 693 nt
Filed under: Hevea brasiliensis (rubber tree)
Lineage: Eukaryota; Viridiplantae; Streptophyta; Magnoliopsida; Malpighiales; Euphorbiaceae
Source: RNAcentral